Molecule: long non-coding RNA, 185 nt
Filed under: Castor canadensis (American beaver)
Lineage: Eukaryota; Metazoa; Chordata; Mammalia; Rodentia; Castoridae
Description: Pvt1 onco conserved region 1 (ENSCCNG00000003508.1)
Rfam family: Pvt1 oncogene conserved region 1
Source: RNAcentral
AGAGCGCGUGCGGCAGCCGAGCACAUGGGCCCGCGGGCCUGGCGGGCUCGGGGCGGCGGGGACUAAGAGGAGCCGCGAGCGACGAUGAGAUCUCGCAGGUCCCGGAACCCUCCGAGUGGAUUUUCAUGCAAAAAGGAUGAUGGGGGCCUCCGUGACCUGUAAGACCCGGCUGGACCCACCCUCCA